CCCCCAUGAUGUUCAAGGAUCAGUUGUAUGUUUAUGUUAAAGGUUUAAUUUUACUCACUAAUCAAUGAAGAAACUAGGCAGGCAUUAUAACCCUUAAGAACAGAUGCAUUUAUAGAUUAGAAAUACUGAAAUUAAUAUGUGAUUGGAAGCAAACUGGUUUUUCCACAGGGGCUAGGGAAAUCAACUGGACGUUUUACAGCAUAACAUUUGCAUGCUCAUGAGAGCAUUUUGCAUUACUAUCAACUACUUACAACUGAAAAGGUUGUAAAAAAGCUCAGAGAGAGGAAGAGAUUAGAAUCGGAGAACCGAGGCUGUCCUUUGGUCUCUGCGGGGUUUCCAGGAAGCAGGAUCCUCUUUCUACAACCUUUACAGCUUCUCUUCCGCUGAAUAGCCCACAGAUUCCUUGUACCGGCCACAGGGCGACAGCCUUAAUGCCAGGUUCCCGGGUUAACAGGAGCUCCCACAUUGUUCUUUUCCUGUUUUUCUCAGGUUCUCAGGGCCACUGGCUCCUGCACUCUUGGAGGCCUGCCAGAGUCCUAAUAUGGGAUGUGGAAAUCAGGCCUCUCCUGGAACGCUCGCGGUCUAUCCACAUUGCCACAAAUGGCAAGAUUGUCAAGUAACAUCUCCUAAUUUAAGAGUUGAAGCUAUCAUAAAUAUCAGGAAACAUACCAGGAAGAUGACAGUUUGCAACCUCUCAUGUAGAAGUCGCCCAGUUACAAACUCCCCUGCUCUUACUCUACUCCUUGCGACCGCCUUCAAAAGAGGGCACAGCAGCAGGGACUGCAGGUUCUCCAGAGGGGCUGACUGAUGGCGUAGGGUUCCCCAGCUGAAGCUGCUGUCUUCCCCAUGUACAAAAUCCGAAAUGGCAAUCGGAGUCUUAAGAGAGAUGAAGGUGAAGAACAGACCAGAAAAGAAAUAGUUAUUUUAUUGGUCAGCUGGCCAAGGAGCAGGACAAAUAUCAGUUAUAAAUAACAAAGGCCUUUAACUCACCAAGUUACCUUUUCUCUUAUGAUCAAGAUAAAACUCAAGAUUGACGAUGUCCAGGGACGGGAUAAGUUUCAGUUUCCAGAAAGCCCCCUUUGGCAUCACAUGAAUAACAGGUUCCCAGCUGGUUAUACUAUUUCUCUGGUUCUUACAAGUAUCAGCUGCAAUUAGGGAUUCUCAGAAAGCUCCAGAAAAGAUGACUCUGUACAAAGUAAAUUUCAUCAAGUGGAGGUCCUUUUCUUUUCUUUUUUCUUUUUUCUUUUUUUACAUUUUAUUUUUAAGUAAUCUCUGCACCCAACAAGGGGCUCAAACUUAACCACCCUGAGAGCAAGGAUGCUCCACCAUCCAAGCCAGCUGGGUGCCUUACGUGGGAGCUUCUGGUCUGGUCUUGUAUUCUUGUAUUCUCCAGGUCUGUCAAAACUUGAAGAGCUAACUGAUGUAACAGGAUAAUGACACUAGCUCAAAUGAUUUCUGUUUCCUCUUUACCUUGCUUUGCAAGGAGAAUUUUAUUUUUCUGUACUGUGUAAGCAAAGUUUGAGAAAUCUGGGAAGAUAGCCAAGAAAUGUAGUCCUCUGAAAAACAAACUGGGGGUAUAAGAAGAAUGACAUUAACUGACUUCUGUGGAAAUAACACAUUUAAAUGAUGAUGAGUAAGUAGGAAGCAUUGGACUAGUGCAACGUUUCUCAAAGUGAAUUGUAAAUAGAAACCUACAAGAGUUUCAUGACCAAAUAAUUUCUUCAAGUACUGGAUUGUGAUGUUGAAACACAUUCAUUUUUGUAGAGUUUCUCAGAACCUUUAAUGUAUUGAUGUACAUUGUGAACUUCGAGGAGAAGCUAUAGUAUGUAGUAUUUUCCAAGUGUGUUUUACUAUGGAGUCAUUUUUUAAAGAUUUUAUUCAUUUAUU
Molecule: long non-coding RNA, 1887 nt
Organism: Mustela erminea (ermine)
Lineage: Eukaryota; Metazoa; Chordata; Mammalia; Carnivora; Mustelidae
Exons: 3
Source: RefSeq, a predicted model, not a curated record